This 22-nucleotide microRNA is filed under the name Oryzias latipes (Japanese medaka). RNAcentral's name for it is "ola-miR-430c". Its record names the gene ola-miR-430c. The record is from miRBase by way of RNAcentral. Lineage: Eukaryota; Metazoa; Chordata; Actinopteri; Beloniformes; Adrianichthyidae.
UAAGUGCUACAUGUUGGGGUAG